CCUACGGGUGGCUGCAGUCGAGAAUCAUUCACAAUGGGGGAAACCCUGAUGGUGCGACGCCGCGUGGGGGAAUGAAGGUCUUCGGAUUGUAAACCCCUGUCAUGUGGAAGCAAAUUAAAAAGAUAGUACCACAAGAGGAAGAGACGGCUAACUCUGUGCCAGCAGCCGCGGUAAUACAGAGGUCUCAAGCGUUGUUCGGAAUCACUGGGCGUAAAGCGUGCGUAGGCUGUUUCGUAAGUCGUGUGUGAAAGGCGCGGGCUCAACCCGCGGACGGCACAUGAUACUGCGAGACUAGAGUAAGGGAGGGGGAACCGGAAUUCUCGGUGUAGCAGGGAAAUGCGUAGAUAUCGAGAGGAACACUCGUGGCGAAGGCGGGUUCCUGGACAGUAACUGACGCUGAGGCACGAAGGCCAGGGGAGCGAAAGGGAUUAGAUACCCCAGUAGUC
RNAcentral lists this ribosomal RNA (446 nucleotides) under uncultured bacterium. RNAcentral's name for it is "partial 16S ribosomal RNA". It matches the Rfam family "Bacterial small subunit ribosomal RNA", at positions 338 to 795 of the family's 1533-position model. The record is from RNAcentral.